UAGGGAAUAUUGCGCAAUGGAGGAAACUCUGACGCAGCGACGCCGCGUGGGUGACGAAGGUCUUCGGAUCGUAAAGCCCUGUCGGAAGGGACGAAAGACGUUAUGGCUAACAUCCAUAACGAGUGACGGUACCUUUAAAGGAAGCACCGGCUAACUACGUGCCAGCAGCCGCGGUAAUACGUAGGGUGCAAGCGUUGUUCGGAAUCAUUGGGCGUAAAGCGAGUGUAGGCGGUUAAUUAAGUCGGGUGUGAAAGCCCUGGGCUCAACCCAGGAAGUGCAUUCGAAACUGAUUAGCUAGAAGAUGGUAGAGGAAGGUGGAAUUCCUAGUGUAGAGGUGAAAUUCGUAGAUAUUAGGAGGAAUACCUGAGGCGAAGGCGGCCUUCUGGGCCAUUCUUGACGC
RNAcentral lists this ribosomal RNA (400 nucleotides) under uncultured bacterium. RNAcentral's name for it is "bacterial SSU rRNA". It matches the Rfam family "Bacterial small subunit ribosomal RNA", at positions 355 to 746 of the family's 1533-position model. The record is from RNAcentral.